GCUAUAACGCUCGGCGGCGUGCCUAAUACAUGCAAGUCGAGCGGACAGAAGGGAGCUUGCUCCCGGAUGUUAGCGGCGGACGGGUGAGUAACACGUGGGUAACCUGCCUGUAAGACUGGGAUAACUCCGGGAAACCGGAGCUAAUACCGGAUAGUUCCUUGAACCGCAUGGUUCAAGGAUGAAAGACGGUUUCGGCUGUCACUUACAGAUGGACCCGCGGCGCAUUAGCUAGUUGGUGGGGUAAUGGCUCACCAAGGCGACGAUGCGUAGCCGACCUGAGAGGGUGAUCGGCCACACUGGGACUGAGACACGGCCCAACUCCUACGGGAGGCAGCAGUAGGGAAUCUUCCGCAAUGGACGAAAGUCUGACGGAGCAACGCCGCGUGAGUGAUGAAGGUUUUCGGAUCGUAAAGCUCUGUUGUUAGGGAAGAACAAGUGCGAGAGUACUGCUCGCACCUUGA
This 461-nucleotide ribosomal RNA is filed under the name Bacillus pumilus. Its description in RNAcentral is "bacterial SSU rRNA". It matches the Rfam family "Bacterial small subunit ribosomal RNA", at positions 32 to 472 of the family's 1533-position model. The record is from RNAcentral. Lineage: Bacteria; Bacillati; Bacillota; Bacilli; Caryophanales; Bacillaceae.